CAGAGGGAGGAAGCACAGCAGAGCUCACACAUCAGACAGCAGUGCUCGUGAGCGUUUCGGGAGCUGAAGCUCUUCUCACAGAGCGAGGGACACAGCAGACAGCAGACACCAUGGAGCCCCCCUUAGCCCAUGCCCGCAGAGGGUGCAUCCCCUGGAACGGGCUCCUGCUGGCAGUCCCACUCAUAACCUUCUGGAAGCUGCUCACCACUGUGAAACCCACUAUUGAAUCGGUGCCCAUCAAUGCUGCGGAAGGCACGGAUGUGCUUCUACUUGUCCACAGUGUGACAGGGGAUCUUCUAGGCUACAGCUGGUACAGAGGAGAAAGGGUAGAGAACAACCAAAUAAUUGCAUCACAUAGAAUAGACUAUAGUACAAGCACCACUGGGCUUGCACACAGCGGUCGAGAGACAAUAUACCCCAAUGGGUCCCUGCUGUUCCAGAAUGUCACCCAGCACGACACAGGAUACUACACCCUGUUCAUGAUAAAGAAUGAUUUACAGACUGAAAGCCUAGCUGCACAGCUCCGCGUAUACCCGGUGUUGCGCACCCCAGUCAUCACCAGCAACAACUCCAACCCCAUGGAGCAGGACACUGUAGUGUUAACAUGUGGGCCUGAGACUCAGAACGCCUCCCACAGGUGGUGGGUCAACGAUCAGAGCCUCCCCAACAGCACCAGGCUGGAACUGUCUGAGGACAACAGGACUCUCACUUUAUUCCAUGUCACGAGGAAUGACACAGGACCCUAUAUGUGUGAAACUUGGAACCCCGUGAGUGUCAGCCGCAGUGACCCAUUCACCCUGAAUGUCAUCUUUGAUUCAACACAAGGAGGUUCUUCUGGCCUCUCAGGUGGUGCUAUUGCCGGCAUUGUGAUUGGAGUCCUGGCUGGCGUAGCUCUGAUUGCACCCCUGGUGGAUUUCCUGUAUAUGAGAUAGACUGAAGGGUAUGAUGCCUUUCCUCUUGUUCUGCUUUCCCUGAGGCUAAUCGUCAUGCUCAGGAGAGGGAAGGAGACUUCAUCUCUGUCUCUGGACCUGGAUCUGCUCCUCAUGCUUCCUAAAAUCUUUCUUCUUGGCAUUAAUUCCUGUGGGUCUCUUCUUCCCUGGUCUUCACGCUUCCUGUGCCCUACUCUGUCUUGGACAUAGUUAUUCCCAUCCCCACCUGGUUUACAGGGGGCAGAACGAAUUAUGUUCCUCUGUCCCCAGUCAGGGAAGCCAAGGUCCAAGAAGGAAAACUAAUGAGGAAAUGAAAGAAGCAGGAGGAAGGGGGUCCUGCGCUCUGUCGACAACAGUAGCAGGAGGAGGGAGGGACAGGACAGGAAGAGAACCUAAGAAAAGCAGAAACAACCAAAGGCCUCCUGGGCAAUAAAUAAAGUGACAAAGAAACAGCAUCUACCUACAAAAGGGGAAAGGUGUCAGGGUAGAAAUAAGCUCAGAAGCAGUUGGCAUGAAUGGCCCUAAAUGUGAACAGCCAGUAAGCAGGAGAGGAGUAAACACCAGAAGGGAUGAUGGGUAGAUUGAAGGAGGAGGUCCUCAGAGGAAACAGGGCCAACCAAGGUAUAAAGGAACACUGAGGAGCCCCAAGGAGUCAUGCUGACAGGGUCCUUCCUAAUUCAAGGAGCAAAGGUCCUGUGCCUGGGAAUAGCAGUCACAGUGUCUGAUAUUUAUUUAGGGCAAGUGACCAGCGCGAUCUCACAGAGCACAAAUCCUCAGACCACAACCAGAGUCGGGGCCACUCUGACAAUUCACCUAACAAGAUUGACGAAGGUGCGUAUUCUGCCCUGAACUUCAAUGCCCAGGAAUCAAAGAAACCAACUUCAGCCUCCCAUCCCUAACAGCCACAGAAACAGUUUAUUCAGAAGUGAAAAAUAAGUAAUGCAACCAGUCCUGCUCACUGCACUUAUUCCAAGCUUCUCGUCCCCAUCCCUAGGAGAUCCCUUUGCCCUCCGGGGAAAAUGUGAAUAGUGUCUUUCCCCCCCUUUCAUCCCUAAUGAGGCUCCUCCAGGCUGCCUGGUCACAGUCCCUUCCUUCAGUGUCAGUAGAUGAAAAGGUACAUCCAGGAGGAGGUCUGUAGGAAACCCAACCUUCCUUGUCAUUGAACUUUGGCAAAGCAGACCUUGGGAGAGAGUUGCCAGAACCUCCACGCCUCCCCAUUUCCUGACCUAAACUGGUUUUAAACUUGCUCAUUCCUUCCCACCCCAGUCCUUUCAUAUUGGAGUUUAACUUGAAUUUGCCAUAACCUGGAAAAUUAUGUCCUUGAUCCACUGAAAUGCAUGUGCCAGAAAAGGAAAAGGAAAAGGAAAAACUUCUCCUGCUCUCUGAAGCCCGGUGUGAACCCACCAUUCACAGGAAAACACAUACAUAACCAAUUCUGAACUGGGAAAUUCUAUACCUUUGUCCACUUUCAGGGUUGUCUACCUGCAGGACCAGGGCUAAACAACUUACUACUUAGCUAGAAUACCACCUAAACCUUUGAAAGCCUGUCUUCAGAGAACCUACUAGAAGCAACUAGAAAACUUCUCAAAGUCCAUAAGUGAAUCCUAAUGGAAAUUGCAAAAAAUGCACAUACUGUUUUAAUAACUUUAUGGGCUUCAUUAAAGGCAAUGCUCCGAGAUGGAGGGAUUAUCGCUUUAGAGGACAAUCAGCUCUUAACAGAGACAAUCUGCUGGGAUUUGGGAAAGGAAUCAGAAAGCUACCCUGCAGAGAUUAUUUAAAUAAUGGUUAAAGAAUGUACAAUUUGGGGUAUUGGGUUUUUUCCUUCCUUCUGAGACAUUUGCCAUUUAAAUUUUUGUAAUUGUUUGUUUAUGUGAAAGGGGUUAUGUUUACUUAAUUUGCUGUGUAAGCCAAUCUGAUUGCCUUAGGUGAAAGAAGCCACCAAAACCCCUCAAGUCCCUCUGGCCAGGAGCUCCUCAAGCUUUUUAUGUCAGGGGCUCCACACAGAAAAUAAGAAGCAGCAGUUUUCUACGUUCAUGGCCAGAAAGGGAUCUCGCUCAGUUUCUAGGCACCUCAGACCAACCAUCAGCACCAUUCUAUUCCGCGUUUCUGCCUGUGCAUGUUCCAUCUGCCCCACUCACCUUCUCAGGAAACCUUGGCCUCUGCUAAGGUGUGUUUGGUUCUUGAGAAGCAGGAGCACCUGAAGGGGACACGACCACCCACGCAGCUGGCCUCGUUUACAACCUAGAAAGCUGCACUGGUGCUGAUGCUCCUUAGGACACAAGGGGAGGAUUAUAGUUCAGCUCUGGGCUUCGUGAAAGCCUCUGAAAUUUGUUUUCUCCCAUGGGGUCUAUGAGACCCAAUGUGUCAGCAUAAAAAGGACGGGCAGGAGAAGGAGAGGCACGUCUACUUCCCACCCAGCCUCCUUCUGCAUGGAUGGAACCUCCUUGAGGCUGUUGAGAGAAAGGUUUUAUUCCAUAUUCAUUACUUGAUCUAAUGCUGUGUGGAACUGGCCCCCUCAAAGAGGGUUGGUUGGGAGUUCUCUGUACUCAGGUACCUCUUUCAGGGUUUUUUAACCCUGACACAGACUUGUAUAUACCUCUCCUCAUCCACACUAUUCUGUGUAAUUUAAUUUUGCCUGGCUAAGGCCGCUUCUGAAUUAUUUGUAAAAUUUGCUCUAUAUUUAUAAUAAAAAUUAUACAUCAGGCAUCAACA
This is a non-coding RNA of Delphinapterus leucas (beluga whale), 3641 nucleotides long. Lineage: Eukaryota; Metazoa; Chordata; Mammalia; Artiodactyla; Monodontidae. The record is from RefSeq and is a predicted model, not a curated record.